CAAUCAGACAAGAAUACCCGCUGAAUUUUAAGCAUAUAACUAAGCGGAGGAAAAGAAACUAACAAGGAUUCCUUUAGUAACGGCGAGUGAAGAAGGAAUAGCUCAAAUUUAAAAUCAUUGAUCUUUGAUUAAUGAAUUGUAGUUUUAGAAGUUAGAUUCGUUUUUUAAUAAUAUACUUAAAUCCUUUUGGAAAAAGGUAUCAAAGAAGGUGAUAAUCCUGUUUAUAGUAUAUUAAUUGAGAAACAUAUGUAUCUGAUUUCAAGAGUCGGGUUGUUUGGGAAUGCAACCUAAAAUGGGUGGUAAAUCUCAUCUAAAGCUAAAUAUUGAUAGGAGACCGAUAGCAAACAAGUACCGUGAGGGAAAGGUGAAAAGAACUUUGAAAAGAGAGUUAAAAGUACUUGAAAUUGUUAACAGG
This 415-nucleotide ribosomal RNA is filed under the name uncultured eukaryote. RNAcentral describes it as "eukaryotic LSU rRNA". It matches the Rfam family "Eukaryotic large subunit ribosomal RNA", at positions 1 to 415 of the family's 3401-position model. The record is from RNAcentral.